GACGCGAUGGCCGAGUGGUUAAGGCGAUUGACUAGAACGGGUAAUCCACUACAUCAAUUUCCCUCUGGGAGCGUAGGUUCAAGUCCUACUCGCGUCG
Exidia glandulosa HHB12029 is the source of this 97-nucleotide transfer RNA. It matches the Rfam family "tRNA". From Rfam's summary of the family: Transfer RNA (tRNA) molecules are approximately 80 nucleotides in length. Their secondary structure includes four short double-helical elements and three loops (D, anti-codon, and T loops). Further hydrogen bonds mediate the characteristic L-shaped molecular structure. tRNAs have two regions of fundamental functional importance: the anti-codon, which is responsible for specific mRNA codon recognition, and the 3' end, to which the tRNAs corresponding amino acid is attached (by aminoacyl-tRNA synthetases). tRNAs cope with the degeneracy of the genetic code in two manners: having more than one tRNA (with a specific anti-codon) for a particular amino acid; and 'wobble' base-pairing, i.e. permitting non-standard base-pairing at the 3rd anti-codon position. The record is from Rfam. NCBI's taxonomy places the organism in Eukaryota, Fungi, Basidiomycota, Agaricomycetes, Auriculariales, Exidiaceae.